CCUACGGGGGGCUGCAGUCGAGAAUCUUCCACAAUGGACGAAAGUCUGAUGGAGCGACGCCGCGUGAGCGAAGAAGGCCUUCGGGUUGUAAAGCUCUGUUGUAAGGGACGAAGGAUGUGACGGUACCUAAUGAAUAAGCCACGGCUAACUACGUGCCAGCAGCCGCGGUAAUACGUAGGUGGCAAGCGUUGUCCGGAUUUACUGGGUGUAAAGGGCGCGUAGGCGGGAAUGCAAGUCAGUUGUGAAAACCGACGGCUUAACCGGAGGAUUGCAGUUGAUACUGAGUUACUUGAGGCAAGGAGAGGAAGGUGGAAUUCCCGGUGUAGCGGUGAUAUGCGUAGAUAUCGGGAGGAACCCCAGUGGCGAAGGCGGCCUUCUGGUCUUGACCUGACGCUGAGGAGCGAAAGCCAGGGUAGCGAACGGGAUUAGAUACCCUUGUA
RNAcentral lists this ribosomal RNA (440 nucleotides) under uncultured bacterium. RNAcentral describes it as "bacterial SSU rRNA". It matches the Rfam family "Bacterial small subunit ribosomal RNA", at positions 338 to 792 of the family's 1533-position model. The record is from RNAcentral.